AAAAGCAAAGCCUGAGAUAGGAAUUUAUGUGAAGAUGGUUCAUUUUGAGCAAUGAUCCCAGGAAAAGGAGUGAGGGACUCAGAAGAGUGAACAGGAAAGAAGGGGAGAGACAGUGUCACAGGUAGAAAGAUUGGCAUGUAUAACGGCUCGUCUGGGAGAGAGAGUAAAAGCAGGCUCCUGGGGUUGGAGCAUCAUUAGUGAGGAGACAAUGGAAGAGAAGUCAGAGAAGAAGCAGGGACCAGAACUGCAGGCCUUGUAGGCCCAGAGAAGGAGCCUCCUUUUAUAAAUCAGCUCCUCCAGGCGGAGCAGCAGAAGAAUCGCGGAGCAUGGACUAUGUGCUCAUUCUGUGCCUUGGAGACUCGUGGCUUCGGCCUGACCAUCACCAUGCUCUGGCACAAGCAGGGAUGCAGGACCCUCCGCUUCUCAGAUCAGGGAGGGAGACAUGGCUGUCAGGUGUAAGGCUCCACCAAAGGCGAAGGGAUAACAAAGAGGAAACAAGCAUGGGGUGUGUGGAAUCUAGAUACUGGGGCUCCUUAUACACACGCCACCAUUCAUCUGUCAGUUUGGGACUCACUGCCUAGGCCUGGAUUGGAGCCCUGCCCCAGUUCACAUAUUCACAGACUCAUUCAGAAGUGGCCUCCCAGGGCACUUAGAUCUCUGGGCUGAGGACCCUCCUCCUCUUCCUGAGCUCUAGUGCUGAUAUCCAGGACCUCUUAAAGAGCUAGAGAGAUCCAGGCCACUUCCAUAUCUCUAGGCUUCCAGAAACAUAAAAAUGAAAGUAAAGUAAAAAUAGUGUUUUAAGA
Long non-coding RNA from Herpailurus yagouaroundi (jaguarundi), 803 nucleotides. RefSeq lists it as uncharacterized. The record is from RefSeq and is a predicted model, not a curated record. Lineage: Eukaryota; Metazoa; Chordata; Mammalia; Carnivora; Felidae. The transcript is spliced from 3 exons.